Molecule: long non-coding RNA, 635 nt
Filed under: Sarcophilus harrisii (Tasmanian devil)
Lineage: Eukaryota; Metazoa; Chordata; Mammalia; Dasyuromorphia; Dasyuridae
Description: lncRNA (ENSSHAG00000026125.1)
Source: RNAcentral
CUCAAUAUACCCCCCAGCCUUCGGCCCUCCAGAACUGAUCCUAGAAUGCCACACCUUUGUCUCUGAUCAGUUUGUCCCUAAGACUGUGGCUGAGAGUGAGAGACUGUGAGACAGUUACAGAAACAUAGAAGAAAACAUCCAUGGAUGUACUGACAAUCCCAGAGACAGAAUUAUCUUCAGUCACACAGAUCCACACAUCCAGAAAUCCCUGUAGGGAAAAGAGAUUGUUUUUUUACCUCCAAGGUACAGAAGAAAAAGGGAAGGAUUGUUGUGAGAAAAGCUCUGUAAACCUGUAUGAUCUAUUAAAAUGAUCGAAUGAAAUGUGAAUUAAGGGAAUGCCAUAAAUGUGGAUCUCUGCAAAGGAUUUGACAAAGUCUCUUGUGCUUUUGUGAUGAGUGAGAUGAAGAUAAAGGGAUUAGAUACAUUUGGGAAGAUUCAGAACUAGUUAGAUGCCUGGACCCAGACACUAGAUGAGUGACUCCAUUGGAUCUUGAAUAUUGGAGUGCAGAGGAGAGGGGAGCUUGGUCCUUUGUUCAUCUAUUCCCUCCCGAGAAGAAAUAUGGAAGGAAGAAGAAAGGAAGGCAGAGAAGGUGGAAAGGAGAGAGGGAGAAAGGAAGAAAAAAAGAGAGAAGGAA